UACGUAGGGGGCAAGCGUUGUCCGGAUUUAUUGGGCGUAAAGAGCGUGUAGGCGGCUUUACAGGUCCGUUGUGAAAACUCGAGGCUCAACCUCGAGACGCCGGUGGAAACCGUAAGGCUAGAGUCCGGAAGAGGAGAGUGGAAUUCCUGGUGUAGCGGUGAAAUGCGCAGAUAUCAGGAGGAACACCCGUGGCGAAAGCGGCUCUCUGGUACGUGACUGACGCUGAGACGCGAAAGCGUGGGGAGCGAACAGG
Molecule: ribosomal RNA, 253 nt
Filed under: uncultured bacterium
Lineage: Bacteria
Description: partial 16S ribosomal RNA
Rfam family: Bacterial small subunit ribosomal RNA
Source: RNAcentral